GACGAACGCCGGCGGCGUGCUUAACACAUGCAAGUCUAACGGAAAGGCCCUGCUUUUGUGGGGUGCUCGAGUGGCGAACGGGUGAGUAACACGUGAGUAACCUGCCCUUGACUUUGGGAUAACUUCAGGAAACUGGGGCUAAUACCGGAUAGGAGCUCCUGCUGCAUGGUGGGGGUUGGAAAGUUUCGGCGGUUGGGGAUGGACUCGCGGCUUAUCAGCUUGUUGGUGGGGUAGUGGCUUACCAAGGCUUUGACGGGUAGCCGGCCUGAGAGGGUGACCGGCCACAUUGGGACUGAGAUACGGCCCAGACUCCUACGGGAGGCAGCAGUGGGGAAUAUUGCACAAUGGGCGGAAGCCUGAUGCAGCAACGCCGCGUGCGGGAUGACGGCCUUCGGGUUGUAAACCGCUUUCGCCUGUGACGAAGCGUGAGUGACGGUAAUGGGUAAAGAAGCACCGGCUAACUACGUGCCAGCAGCCGCGGUGAUACGUAGGGUGCGAGCGUUGUCCGGAUUUAUUGGGCGUAAAGGGCUCGUAGGUGGUUGAUCGCGUCGGAAGUGUAAUCUUGGGGCUUAACCCUGAGCGUGCUUUCGAUACGGGUUGACUUGAGGAAGGUAGGGGAGAAUGGAAUUCCUGGUGGAGCGGUGGAAUGCGCAGAUAUCAGGAGGAACACCAGUGGCGAGGGCGGUUCUCUGGGCCUUUCCUGACGCUGAGGAGCGAAAGCGUGGGGAGCGAACAGGCUUAGAUACCCUGGUAGUCCACGCUGUAAACGGUGGGUACUAGGUGUGGGGUCCAUUCCACGGGUUCCGUGCCGUAGCUAACGCUUUAAGUACCCCGCCUGGGGAGUACGGCCGCAAGGCUAAAACUCAAAGGAAUUGACGGGGCCCCGCACAAGCGGCGGAGCAUGCGGAUUAAUUCGAUGCAACGCGUAGAACCUUACCUGGGUUUGACAUGGAUCGGGAGUGCUCAGAGAUGGGUGUGCCUCUUUUGGGGUCGGUUCACAGGUGGUGCAUGGCUGUCGUCAGCUCGUGUCGUGAGAUGUUGGGUUAAGUCCCGCAACGAGCGCAACCCUUGUUCACUGUUGCCAGCACGUUAUGGUGGGGACUCAGUGGAGACCGCCGGGGUCAACUCGGAGGAAGGUGGGGAUGACGUCAAGUCAUCAUGCCCCUUAUGUCCAGGGCUUCACGCAUGCUACAAUGGCUGGUACAGAGAGUGGCGAGCCUGUGAGGGUGAGCGAAUCUCGGAAAGCCGGUCUCAGUUCGGAUUGGGGUCUGCAACUCGACCUCAUGAAGUCGGAGUCGCUAGUAAUCGCAGAUCAGCAACGCUGCGGUGAAUACGUUCCCGGG
This 1343-nucleotide ribosomal RNA is filed under the name uncultured bacterium. Its description in RNAcentral is "16S ribosomal RNA". It matches the Rfam family "Bacterial small subunit ribosomal RNA", at positions 28 to 1378 of the family's 1533-position model. The record is from RNAcentral.